UGGGAAGAAAGCCCCACUAGGAGCUUAGU
Molecule: non-coding RNA, 29 nt
Filed under: Mus musculus (house mouse)
Lineage: Eukaryota; Metazoa; Chordata; Mammalia; Rodentia; Muridae
Also listed under: 1 other name
Source: RNAcentral